This is a long non-coding RNA of Thalassophryne amazonica, 1127 nucleotides long. RefSeq lists it as uncharacterized. The transcript has 3 exons. Lineage: Eukaryota; Metazoa; Chordata; Actinopteri; Batrachoidiformes; Batrachoididae. The record is from RefSeq and is a predicted model, not a curated record.
UGAGUUAUGUUUGGUGCAGCCUUUCCUGCUCACUGAAAAGUUCAUUUUCACACAUUAAAACAAGUCAAAAGGGCUUUUAACAAUGUGGAUAUGAUUGUUUGUGUUGGCAAAAGUAGAAAUGAAAUGCUGUGCUGCAACGUUUUUCAUGCUAAUAACCAUGAAUGCAAACAGUGGCGUGAUUUAAGAGGUGUGAAGAAUGAGCUGGAGAACGUGUUUAGAGUGGGAUAUCACCUCGGAUUGUUACACAUCAUCUCUUCGCUGCUUUUAAUUAUUCUGUUGCUGGAUCUGAUAAACGAUUAACAUACUGAAAAGAAAAUAAAGGAAACAAUAAAAUGUAAAAUAACAUUUUAAAUAGAUUUGAAAUAAAAACAAUAAAAUAUCAAUAUUUAAAUGUUACAAUUAUGGGGUAAAUGAAAAGUGCGCCAUGGGACAGCGGCGUUGUGAUUUUGGUCCAUUAAAACACCAACAUGAUCUAUAAUCAACCCAGCUCUCUGGAGACGCACAAACUGUUUCCCAUUUUACACCUCUGAGAGCCAACAAUGAGAUGCACAAUGCAGAAAUAACUGACCGAAACAGAAAGAGGAAAAAAAAAAAAAAAAAAAAAAAAAAGAAAUGUGGGAUCUCUUAUUUUGAGUGCACCCCAUGGUUUCCAAAAUGUGCACUUUUUGUGUGCCACAGUAAAAGUGCAUUUGCAUAACUGAAGCCAAACAUAGUUUAUGUGCACCUUCUUUAUUUAUUUCUAGCAAUUUGUCACAGCGGUCUUGUGACUUGCACUGUGUCGACACACGGCACCGACAUUUCAAAUUUGUUGCGCUUAAGAUGCCAAAACACGCUGAUGUUUGGAGGUGUGGCCAAAGAGCUGAGAGCAGGGCGGUGACUGUGCGAACAACGGAGAAGCAGAAUUUUCAGCUAAAAAAAAAUGGGAAAAUGUGAGUUUCAAAAACAACUGUCCAGUUUGUUGUAAAAAAAAAAAAAAAAAAGUCCAACAUAAAUACUGUAGCUAGGUUUAUGACAUAGCUAACGCUAGUAGAGAUCCACGCGCGGUUCUGUCUGCGCAGACCAGUGCAGCAGGCUGAGCGCAAUAAUGUGAAUGCAUCUUAAAUUGUGAAAAGAUGAAGUUUUUGCAG